GGUUUUUCCUCAAACCUUUCAAAAUCCAAAAACUUUUUCAAAAAACUUUUCCAUUUCCCACACUUUUUCUCUCCCUCUCUGCUUGUCGUUCUCUCUCUCUCUCUCUCACCCGCUUUCUCUCUUCCUUCUUCAAACCUAAAUCAGUCCUUUCUCCCUCAUCCCUGCCUCCCCCUCUCCGCUUCGAACCCUGCCUCCCCUUUUCCAAUCCAAACCCUAAAUGUGCCGACAUCGCAAUUCCUCUUCCCAAUGUUACGAGAAAGAUACUUUAUAUAAGAAACACGUUGAAGGAAGAGAGUUCUGAUGAAAAACAAUCUAGAGAUGAACUCAAUGCGUGGGAUGCCGAGUUUGUUAAGGUUUGGGUUUCUUCGAUUCUUCUGAUCCAUGCUUUUGCUAUAGAUAAUGUUGUUUCAGAAAAUGGUACUUGAUGAAGCAGAUCAGAUGAUUACCAUGGGUUUUGAACAAAUAUUUCUCUAUUCUUGGUCAGACAUGUUCAGGUGGGUGGAAGAGAUAUUUAAACCUGUGGAUAGUUGAGGUGUGAAUGUUUUCAAAUCUAUAUUUUGAGGUCUUGGACAAGCAUUUACGUGAUAAGCGCCUGCUUUCUUUACUAGAGAAGUACCACAAAUAUGAGAAGUUGGUAUGGUUCGAUAUAGGUUGAUAUGGUUCAGCAAGCAGGUGUGUGAUACGGUGAUCAACGUUUCAUCAUGCUAUGUCGAAGGCAGCUCAUGCAUCAAAGUUUUUUGUGUGUUUAUGCUGAGAUGUAUUGGUUUUCUGAUGCAUCGGUUGUGAAUGCUUCUAAAACUGCAUGUGAAUGUCAAUUGGAGCUAUGCAGAGCUGUUUGUUGCCAGCUAUAUGUUCACUACCGAUUCCAGGUUACAUGUUUGGCAAAGCCAUUGUUUUUAUUGAUGCUGCAGCAGAGGCUGCAAUAUAUGGUUUUACUACUGUAGACUGGCCAGAAGGGUUCUUGGUUUUGGCUAUUGCUUCACUGGGAAAUGAGAUUAUGAGAUGAAAAUCCCCCCUGAGGUAAGCAAUAAUUAUUAUCAUAUCUGGCUUUCACUUACGAAACUAUUAUUGAUGUGGUGGCAAAGUCACACAAUUUUGGGUUUCUUCCUCUCUUUCUAUUUUGUUUCAGAUUUUGUUGGUAUUUGUUUGCUGUAUUUUUAUUUGGGUGUGAAAUUUAUGUUGUCCAUGGUAUCGGUGUAUUGUUGAUGAUGAAGGAUGAUUUUGAGAAAUGGAGGUUUGACUGUGUAUUGAUGAUGAAGAAAAAUAUUUCCAGUGCAGUUGGUGGUGUUGUAACCUCCCUUCUCUCCAAUGAUCGAAUAGUUCUUUUGUGUAAUAUGCUGUGUAAAACCGAACUACUGUGAAAAAGCUAAUUCAUUGCUUUCAACUUCAACAUAUGGAAAAUCUAUGAGUGUGCAUUUCAGUAACGUUACUGUCAUGUAAGAGUGUGUUAAAUGUUGAAGGUUAGUUUUGAAAUAUUAUUAUGUUUACAUAUAAUUGAUUGAGAAGAUAUCUUAAAAUGUUAACUGUAAGUUUUGAAAUUUACAAAAUCACCCUUCAAUAGAUAGUUAUAAAUAUCUUCAUGAUUAUGCUCUCUAUUUAUUUCUAGACUAAACAGUGUUGUUAGAUUCCAACAGGUAUUUUGUUCUGACCGCAAGUGAUUUGGAGGAGUGGUGCUGUAACCUUGAGUCUUUUCACCACGAGUAAGAUAUGAUCCCGUGGACAAAAAAAUUGAGGCCUUGUGCUGAAGCUCUGUACAUUGUAUUGUUUGAAAAUAAUAGCCAUCUUCUAGCUCCUGUUGUGGUUUCUCUUCUUCAAGAGACCAUGAACAAUUGUCCGACUUCAGUGACAGAAAUUACUUCUGCAUUUCUUCUUAAAGAUGCUGCUUAUGGUGCUGCCGCCUAUGUUUAUUAUGAACUCUCAUUCUAUCUGAGCUUUAAAUACUGGUCCAAUGGAGCUUUAUCACAUGAACUCUCUAAUCAUCAUCUUCAAUUGUUAGAAGCCUUCUCAUUGAGGCAUUAAGGCUUGACAGAACAAACUCAUAUGCAUGGUACAAUCUUGGACUUGUGUACAAAGAUGAUUUGGGAACAUCAACAUUGGAAGCUGCUGAAUGCUUUGAGGAAGCAGUUUUUCUUGAAGAAUCUUGGCCCAUUGAACCCUUUAGAUAACACUUUCACUUCUUUUCUUUUUGUGAUGUGCUUGUAAAGUUGGUUUAUUAAAUAUAUAUUUUAUAUAAAAAUGAAAUAGCAAAAGGUGAAAGAACGAUAAUUGCUAGGUGUUGUUUUACUGUAAGGACUUAUAGAAACCGUUGGUGGAAAUCCAAGGAGAUUGAUGGAAAUGUCUUAUUGUUAGUGUUAGAUGUGAAUUAUUAGGAAAAGAAAAGAUCUCAUCAUAGAGCCAACUGAUAUGUUUGGUGUCUUAGCCAAGAAAAAGAGAAGAUCGUAGUCUAUGGUUUUUGAUUAUUUAUUUAUUCUAAGCUAGCUACUUGCAAAUUAAAUAAAGAAUUGUGUAUAGGUUCUUCUUGAAGGAAAUGAGAUACCAAAUUAUAGUGUUGAAGUUAAAAAAAAAAUCCUACUGGUAGCAAAUUAACCAGGUUAAACUUUGGACAUGUAUUAGACAGUGCAUAUGUAAUUUUCUUAUAUUAAACAUGUCAAUGGAUAAUUUAAUUUAAAUUUUAAUAUAGUUUGGUUAUUUCAUACUCAUGUGUUGGUGAUAUAGUUUUGGUAGCGGAGUGAGUUUGACGAAAGAGUUGAAGCGGAGAAUAGAGAGAGAAAUAUCGUUGUUUCGUUUUUUUAAUAGGAUAUCUUAGUAAUAAUGCAAGUAACGGGUGAAAUGAACUAAUGAAGCAACGAGUUUGUGUUUUUUUGUUGGGAUUUGGAACAAAGAGAAUAAUAAAGUGAAAAGCACAAAGAGGACAAGAAUGUGACUUUUCAGGAUUAGAUUCUCGCAGAAAUGAAUUUAAUUUGAAUAGUCUA
This is a long non-coding RNA of Vicia villosa (hairy vetch), 2972 nucleotides long. RefSeq lists it as uncharacterized. NCBI's taxonomy places the organism in Eukaryota, Viridiplantae, Streptophyta, Magnoliopsida, Fabales, Fabaceae. The record is from RefSeq and is a predicted model, not a curated record. The transcript is spliced from 10 exons.